Molecule: long non-coding RNA, 3263 nt
Organism: Dreissena polymorpha
Lineage: Eukaryota; Metazoa; Mollusca; Bivalvia; Myida; Dreissenidae
Exons: 2
Source: RefSeq, a predicted model, not a curated record
ACCACCUAAAAAUGUACAUUUAGGUUUACGUAUAAUAUUGAGGUCACUUAAAUACAGAUUCCCUGCUGUUUUUCACGCACGGUCUAUCACAACAACAUCGUUCCAAGAAAGAAAGCAUAAUAUUAUUAUCCUUUUUGUGUUUUCAGCUGAAUACUUGAUUUAACUUGAACUCAGCAAGAUAUCCAAACAGGAAAAAUAAGGCAAAGUAGUGUUAUUCUGAGUAGAUCUGCCUGGCGGGAUUGAAAGCGAAGGCAGAUAGCAGUGUCGGUCCAAAAUUGCUUGCAUGGAAAAACAACACACAUUACAUUUUAAAUAGUAAAAGGCUAAAAGUAAACAAUAGCAAUAAAUACAGAUGAAAUAAAGACAGGAAUUAGGUUCAUUAUUGAGAUUGAUGCAAAUUAAUGUCAAAAUGUCACUGAAAAACAAUACCGAGUGUUUACGUAGUCUUAGAAUGUGUCUUCGGAACAGGUUUCGGAGUGAUUUUCAAGCAUUUACCCCCCUUAGGACCCCAAGUGCAACAGCCCAAUUGCAAACAGCCCUUAAUUGGGUCAAAAUGACAUCUGGUAGUUAUGUUUUGCAAUACAGAGAGUUUUUGAUGGUAAAUUGUCAACAUUCUGGAAGACGACUAACUUGGUCGGAAGUUCUUAAAGGGAACCCAACCCCUUCAAAUUUGAAUUAAAGGCACUUUUUCCAUAGGUAUAAUCUGUUUUAAAAAAGAUCACAAAGUUCCAGUACCAUGACACACAGAUUUAUUCAUUAAAGUUGACGUUGAAAGCGUCACGCGUAACAGCGUUUCGCGUCAAGAAUUAAGGUAGAAAAGCCGACCUUGGUUACAUCAUACAGACAGCACUUAGACUCCAUACAAGGCAUCACUUUCGAUUCUAAUAGCAUAGCAGAUGUAACAUAUGACUUAAUAAGUGAAAACAAAUCAUCAAUGGCAUUAUAUGUGCAUCAUAGCAGGUUUUGAACAAGAUCCGAACAAACUUUUUAUAUAUUUUUUGGCACAUUUUAGGUAAAAUCCAUGUAGAAGCAGCAUUUCUGAUGUCAUUUGACCCAACAAAAGGGCUUGCUUGCAUGGGAAAACAACACACUUUACUUCCUGACGCAAAAAAAGUCAUCGUCAGACAUGAGCUUUAAGUUUUCUGUCACACCUGGACCUAUGAUUCCUCGGCUCGAGUUCCGUCUCGGACAGGCUCCGGAAAGUGUCAGUCUGGCCCGGGUGCUCAAUUCCGUGUAAUCUGAGAAAACAAAAAGUUGUUUAGUGCACAUUUACCCAUUACGGUGCUAACUUAUGUAAGUGAGAUACAAUUAGAGUAAGCUUUCAAUAGUCUGUGUGGCUUUAUUUACUGUAAACGGAUAAGUCACCAUGCCGGCAUCACAUUGUCGGGCACACUGGCAAAGUUAUCGCCACAAAAUGUGGUUUCAGAGCUGCAGUAAUUGUAAAAAACAACAAUUUGCCUAAUUUUGGUGACAAAAGUGUGCCAUGAUAUCAAAGAAAUCAUUUUACAAUAGAUUUCAUUGAAAAUAACAGCGUACUAACCUGCAAAGACACCGAUCCUCUCGACACGACUGGGCGAGUGUUGAGGGCCGUCUCCGAAUCAGUCAUACUGUGCAGUUUUUGAUGGCCUGUCACUUCAGCCGGACUUGUAAACCAAUUGGACAGCAGUUCAGGCAGAGCUAUAGACUAAUUCCGACACCACCUAAAAAUGUACAUUUAGGUUUACGUAUAAUAUUGAGGUCACUUAAAUACAGAUUCCCUGCUGUUUUUCACGCACGGUCUAUCACAACAACAUCGUUCCAAGAAAGAAAGCAUAAUAUUAUUAUCCUUUUUGUGUUUUCAGCUGAAUACUUGAUUUAACUUGAACUCAGCAAGAUAUCCAAACAGGAAAAAUAAGGCAAAGUAGUGUUAUUCUGAGUAGAUCUGCCUGGCGGGAUUGAAAGCGAAGGCAGAUAGCAGUGUCGGUCCAAAAUUGCUUGCAUGGAAAAACAACACACAUUACAUUUUAAAUAGUAAAAGGCUAAAAGUAAACAAUAGCAAUAAAUACAGAUGAAAUAAAGACAGGAAUUAGGUUCAUUAUUGAGAUUGAUGCAAAUUAAUGUCAAAAUGUCACUGAAAAACAAUACCGAGUGUUUACGUAGUCUUAGAAUGUGUCUUCGGAACAGGUUUCGGAGUGAUUUUCAAGCAUUUACCCCCCUUAGGACCCCAAGUGCAACAGCCCAAUUGCAAACAGCCCUUAAUUGGGUCAAAAUGACAUCUGGUAGUUAUGUUUUGCAAUACAGAGAGUUUUUGAUGGUAAAUUGUCAACAUUCUGGAAGACGACUAACUUGGUCGGAAGUUCUUAAAGGUUACACAUGCCCAAUUAAUUUCCUUCUUUGUUAUAUAUAGAAUUCGCAAUCUUUGAUCUCAAAUUUCACCAUGACCGAGCGAUAAGCCAAUAUAUAACUAUACAUGACUGGAAAGGUGGUUUCAUAAACUUACAAAAAAACUGCAUUUGAAAAAAUUCUAUACGGUGUAACUCAAAAUAAUUACCUUAGAGCAUAUGAACCGGUUUUGACAGCUACCGGCACUGCCAUUUGAAGGCAAAAACCAUGCCCUACUAUUGAGGCUGGCAACCACUAACAUACAAAGAAAUGCACAAAUCAGGCCUUUUGCCCUGUGACUUACACAUGUACCUUUAAACUGACACCUAAACUCUUCAUUUCAGAUACAUUUUUAAAAUCUUAUGCACCAGGACCUGCAUCAUAUGUACUAAGUAGCAAACCGACUGCAUGUAACCCCCCAAAUUCCACUUCCGUUUAGGAUAAUGUAACCUAUAAGGGAACCCAACCCCUUCAAAUUUGAAUUAAAGGCACUUUUUCCAUAGGUAUAAUCUGUUUUAAAAAAGAUCACAAAGUUCCAGUACCAUGACACACAGAUUUAUUCAUUAAAGUUGACGUUGAAAGCGUCACGCGUAACAGCGUUUCGCGUCAAGAAUUAAGGUAGAAAAGCCGACCUUGGUUACAUCAUACAGACAGCACUUAGACUCCAUACAAGGCAUCACUUUCGAUUCUAAUAGCAUAGCAGAUGUAACAUAUGACUUAAUAAGUGAAAACAAAUCAUCAAUGGCAUUAUAUGUGCAUCAUAGCAGGUUUUGAACAAGAUCCGAACAAACUUUUUAUAUAUUUUUUGGCACAUUUUAGGUAAAAUCCAUGUAGAAGCAGCAUUUCUGAUGUCAUUUGACCCAACAAAAGGGCUUGCUUGCAUGGGAAAACAACACACUUUA